CCUACGGGAGGCUGCAGUAGGGAAUCUUCCACAAUGGGCGAAAGCCUGAUGGAGCAACGCCGCGUGGGUGAAGAAGGUCUUCGGAUCGUAAAACACUGUUGUAAGAGAAGAAAGUGCGUGAGAGUAACUGUUCACGUUUCGACGGUAUCUAACCAGAAAGCCACGGCUAACUACGUGCCAGCAGCCGCGGUAAUACGUAGGUGGCAAGCGUUAUCCGGAUUUAUUGGGCGUAAAGGGAACGCAGGCGGUCUUUUAAGUCUGAUGUGAAAGCCUUCGGCUUAACCGGAGUAGUGCAUUGGAAUCUGGGAGACUUGAGUGCAGAAGAGGAGAGUGGAACUCCAUGUGUAGCGGUGAAAUGCGUAGAUAUAUGGAAGAACACCAGUGGCGAAAGCGGCUCUCUGGUCUGUAACUGACGCUGAGGUUCGAAAGCGUGGGUAGCAAACAGGAUUAGAUACCCUGGUAGUC
This 465-nucleotide ribosomal RNA is filed under the name uncultured bacterium. Its description in RNAcentral is "partial 16S ribosomal RNA". It matches the Rfam family "Bacterial small subunit ribosomal RNA", at positions 338 to 795 of the family's 1533-position model. The record is from RNAcentral.